GAAAUGCGAUAAGUAAUGUGAAUUGCAGAAUUCAGUGAAUCAUCGAAUCUUUGAACGCACAUUGCGCCCGCCAGCACUCUGGCGGGCAUGCCUGUUCGAGCGUCAUUUCAACCCUCAGAACCCCUUGCGGGAUCUGGCGUUGGGGAUUGGCAUCCAGCCAGCCCCGAAAUCUAGUGGCGGUCCCUCCGCGACCUCCCCUGUGCAGUAGCGAUACCUCGCAGCGGGACAGCGGUCUGACCACGCCGUAAAACCCCCAACUUCUCAAGGUUGACCUCGAAUCAGGUAGGAAUACCAGCUGAACUUAAGC
RNAcentral lists this unclassified non-coding RNA (307 nucleotides) under plant metagenome. RNAcentral describes it as "partial contains 5.8S ribosomal RNA, internal transcribed spacer 2, and large subunit ribosomal RNA". The stretch from base 1 to 105 matches the Rfam family "5.8S ribosomal RNA", at positions 50 to 154 of the family's 154-position model. The record is from RNAcentral.